CCCUGGAUAGCUCAGUUGGACAGAGCGUGGUGCUGAUAAUGCCAAGGUUGCAGGUUUGAUCCCCGUAAGGGA
Podarcis lilfordi (Lilford's wall lizard) is the source of this 72-nucleotide non-coding RNA. The record is from the annotation of a GenBank genome assembly. Lineage: Eukaryota; Metazoa; Chordata; Lepidosauria; Squamata; Lacertidae.